RNAcentral lists this transfer RNA (75 nucleotides) under Arabidopsis thaliana (thale cress). RNAcentral's name for it is "tRNA AT3G07055". It matches the Rfam family "tRNA". Rfam says of the family: Transfer RNA (tRNA) molecules are approximately 80 nucleotides in length. Their secondary structure includes four short double-helical elements and three loops (D, anti-codon, and T loops). Further hydrogen bonds mediate the characteristic L-shaped molecular structure. tRNAs have two regions of fundamental functional importance: the anti-codon, which is responsible for specific mRNA codon recognition, and the 3' end, to which the tRNAs corresponding amino acid is attached (by aminoacyl-tRNA synthetases). tRNAs cope with the degeneracy of the genetic code in two manners: having more than one tRNA (with a specific anti-codon) for a particular amino acid; and 'wobble' base-pairing, i.e. permitting non-standard base-pairing at the 3rd anti-codon position. Lineage: Eukaryota; Viridiplantae; Streptophyta; Magnoliopsida; Brassicales; Brassicaceae. The record is from RNAcentral.
GGGGUGGUGGCGCAGUUGGCUAGCGCGUAGGUCUCAUAAAUCCUGAGGUCGAGAGUUCGAGCCUCUCUCACCCCA